Molecule: ribosomal RNA, 643 nt
Filed under: uncultured bacterium
Lineage: Bacteria
Description: bacterial SSU rRNA
Rfam family: Bacterial small subunit ribosomal RNA
Source: RNAcentral
AUGCAAGUCGAGCGGUAACAGACAUUUUGAUUUUGCUUGCAAAAUCUCGUGCUGACGAGCGGCGAACGGGUGAGUAACGCGUAGGAAUCUACCUAGUAGAAGGGGAUAGCCCGAGGAAACUCGGAUUAAUACCGUAUACGUCCUUAGGGAGAAAGAGGGCUUAGCUUUGAUGCUCUCGCUAUUAGAUGAGCCUGCGUAAGAUUAGCUUGUUGGUGAGGUAAAGGCUCACCAAGGCGACGAUCUUUAGCUGGUCUGAGAGGACGAUCAGCCACAUUGGGACUGAGACACGGCCCAGACUCCUACGGGAGGCAGCAGUGGGGAAUAUUGGACAAUGGGCGCAAGCCUGAUCCAGCCAUACCGCGUGUGUGAAGAAGGCCUUCGGGUUGUAAAGCACUUUAAGUAAGGAAGAAAAGAGUAUUGUUAAUACCAAUACUCCGUGACAUUACUUACAGAAUAAGGACCGGCUAAUUCCGUGCCAGCAGCCGCGGUAAUACGGAAGGUCCAAGCGUUAAUCGGAAUUACUGGGCGUAAAGCGCGCGUAGGUGGUUUGUUAAGUUGGGUGUGAAAGCCCCGGGCUCAACCUGGGAACUGCAUCCAAAACUGAUUCACUAGAGUACGAAAGAGGAAAGUAGAAUUCACAGUG